RNAcentral lists this ribosomal RNA (444 nucleotides) under uncultured bacterium. RNAcentral describes it as "bacterial SSU rRNA". It matches the Rfam family "Bacterial small subunit ribosomal RNA", at positions 335 to 795 of the family's 1533-position model. The record is from RNAcentral.
ACUCCUACGGGAGGCAGCAGUGGGGAAUAUUGCACAAUGGGCGCAAGCCUGAUGCAGCCAUGCCGCGUGAGUGAUGAAGGCCCUAGGGUUGUAAAACUCUUUCAUCGGUGAAGAUAAUGACGGUAGCCGAAGAAGAAGUCCCGGCUAACUCCGUGCCAGCAGCCGCGGUAAUACGGAGGGUGCGAGCGUUAUCCGGAAUCACUGGGCGUAAAGGGCGCGUAGGCGGUUACAUAAGUCCGAUGUUAAAGCGUAGGGCUCAACCCUAUAAAGGCGUUGGAUACUGUGAAACUAGACUUCUGGAGAGGUAAGUGGAAUUACCAGAGUAGCGGUGAAAUGCGUAGAUACUGGUAGGAACACCCAUAGCGAAGGCAGCUUACUGGACAGAGAGUGACGCUGAGGCGCGAAAGUGUGGGGAGCAAACCGGAUUAGAUACCCUGGUAGGUC